CCAGCAUUCAGUUGGGCGACUCUAAGGGGACGUGCCGGUGAUAAGCCGAGAGGAAGGUGGGGAGUGACGUCAAGUCCUCAUGGCCUUACGGGCUGGGCUACACACGUGCUACAAUGGUGGUGACAGUGGGCAGCGAGACAGCGAUGUCGAGCUAAUCUCCAAAAGACCAUCUCAGUUCGGAUUGCACUCUGCAACUCGAGUGCAUGAAGUUGGAAUCGCUAGUAAUCGCGGAUCAGCAUGCCGCGGUGAAUACGUUCCCGGGCCUU
This 266-nucleotide ribosomal RNA is filed under the name uncultured Rhizobiaceae bacterium. RNAcentral's name for it is "partial 16S ribosomal RNA". It matches the Rfam family "Bacterial small subunit ribosomal RNA", at positions 1118 to 1382 of the family's 1533-position model. Lineage: Bacteria; Pseudomonadati; Pseudomonadota; Alphaproteobacteria; Hyphomicrobiales; Rhizobiaceae. The record is from RNAcentral.